RNAcentral lists this ribosomal RNA (237 nucleotides) under uncultured bacterium. RNAcentral's name for it is "partial 16S ribosomal RNA". It matches the Rfam family "Bacterial small subunit ribosomal RNA", at positions 250 to 504 of the family's 1533-position model. The record is from RNAcentral.
UGGUGGGGUAAAAGCCUACCAAGGCCACGAUCAGUAGCCGACCUGAGAGGGUGAUCGGCCACAUUGGAACUGAGACACGGUCCAAACUCCUACGGGAGGCAGCAGUGGGGAAUAUUGCACAAUGGGCGAAAGCCUGAUGCAGCAACGCCGCGUGAACGAUGAAGGUCUUCGGAUCGUAAAGUUCUGUCGCAGGGGAAGAUAAUGACGGUACCCUGUGAGGAAGCACCGGCUAACUAC